UCACUGAGAUACAUCCCUGGCCUGCGAUCACAAUCCCCACAGGCUAUGUGUUAUGGAACUUGCCCCUUUGUCAAAAGUUAGCUGUGCUCACUUUUCCCUGUUUGAGGACUCUUGUGACAUCACAGGAAGGGAACACCUGUAUUCUGGGGCUCUCUGGCCUCCCAUGACUUUUUCUUCAUGAGCAUGUCCUGUAGACACUCAUCCCAGGUUUCCCUCAUGUAAAAUGAACAUGCCUUAUCUCCAAAAGUCUAUUGUGCUGCAUUGAGAUACCAAAGCCAGAAAAUUAAGGGUUAAAAAGAGGUCAAGAGGUAGGAUUUUAUCUGAAACUUCCUAUUCCAGCAAUUUGUGAAUGGGCAUUUAACCCAUGGAAAGUGUGUCCUAUGGAGUCAUUAAGCACAGAAGUUCUGAGGAGAAAGGAAGAUGAGACUGGAAAAGAACCCUCGAUACUCGUGAGAAUAAUAAGAGCGUUCCGGGAUUCCAAGGCUGAGAUCUGCGCUCCUGGGCCAUCAGUUUGAGAAUAACCACUCCUGUAAUGAGUCACCUGUGGCAG
Molecule: non-coding RNA, 550 nt
Organism: Heterocephalus glaber (naked mole-rat)
Lineage: Eukaryota; Metazoa; Chordata; Mammalia; Rodentia; Bathyergidae
Source: RefSeq, a predicted model, not a curated record